CAAGGUUAAAACUCAAAGGAAUUGACGGGGGCCCGCACAAGCGGUGGAGUAUGUGGUUUAAUUCGAUGAUACGCGAGAAACCUUACCUGGUCUUGACAUGUAGAGAAGUUCAAGAGAUUGGAUGUGCCUGCUUGCAGGAGCUCUAACACAGGUGGUGCAUGGUUGUCGUCAGCUCGUGUCGUGAGAUGUUGGGUUAAGUCCCGCAACGAGCGCAACCCUUGUUACUAGUUGCCAGCACGUAAUGGUGGGGACUCUAGUGAGACUGCCGGUGACAAACCGGAGGAAGGUGGGGAUGACGUCAAAUCAUCACGCCCCUUACGACCAGGGCCACACACGUACUACAAUGCCCGGUACAAUGAGCCGCCAGGCCGCGAGGCCGAGCAAAUCUCAAAAACCGGGCCAAGUUCGGAUCGGAGAUUGCAACUCAUCUCCGUGAAGCUGGAAUCGCUAGUAAACGCAAAUCAGCAUGUUGCGUUGAAUACGUUCUCGGGCCUUGUACACACCGCCCGUCACACCAUGGGAGCCAGUAACACCCGAAGCCGGUGAGCUAACUUAACGGAGGCAGCUGUCGAAGGUGGGAUUGGUG
Molecule: ribosomal RNA, 586 nt
Filed under: uncultured bacterium
Lineage: Bacteria
Description: bacterial SSU rRNA
Rfam family: Bacterial small subunit ribosomal RNA
Source: RNAcentral